Molecule: ribosomal RNA, 405 nt
Filed under: uncultured bacterium
Lineage: Bacteria
Description: bacterial SSU rRNA
Rfam family: Bacterial small subunit ribosomal RNA
Source: RNAcentral
AUUGAACGCUGGCGGCAUGCUUUACACAUGCAAGUCGAACGGCAGCGCGGGGGCGAACCCUGGCGGGCGAGUGGCGAACGGGUGAGUAAUGCAUCGGAACGUAUCCUGUAAUGGGGGAUAACGUAGCGAAAGUUACGCUAAUACCGCAUACGCUCGAGAGAGGAAAGUGGGGGAGUCGCAAAGACCUCACGUUAUAGGAGCGGCCGAUGCCGAUUAGCUAGUUGGUGGGGUAAAGGCCUACCAAGGCGACGAUCGGUAGCUGGUCUGAGAGGAUGAUCAGCCACACUGGGACUGAGACACGGCCCAGACUCCUACGGGAGGCAGCAGUGGGGAAUUUUGGACAAUGGGCGAAAGCCUGAUCCAGCCAUGCCGCGUGCGGGAAGAAGGCCUUCGGGUUGUAAACCG